This 253-nucleotide ribosomal RNA is filed under the name uncultured bacterium. RNAcentral's name for it is "partial 16S ribosomal RNA". It matches the Rfam family "Bacterial small subunit ribosomal RNA", at positions 524 to 776 of the family's 1533-position model. The record is from RNAcentral.
CACGUAGGGGACGAGCGUUGUCCGGAAUUAUUGGGCGUAAAGGGCUCGUAGGCGGUUUGUCGCGUCGGGAGUGAAAACCCAGGGCUUAACCCUGGGCUGGCUUCCGAUACGGGCAGACUAGAGGUAUGCAGGGGAGAACGGAAUUCCUGGUGUAGCGGUGAAAUGCGCAGAUAUCAGGAGGAACACCGGUGGCGAAGGCGGUUCUCUGGGCAUUACCUGACGCUGAGGAGCGAAAGUGUGGGGAGCGAACAGG